RNAcentral lists this ribosomal RNA (254 nucleotides) under uncultured bacterium. RNAcentral's name for it is "partial 16S ribosomal RNA". It matches the Rfam family "Bacterial small subunit ribosomal RNA", at positions 524 to 776 of the family's 1533-position model. The record is from RNAcentral.
UACGUAGGGGGGCAAGCGUUGUCCGGAAUCAUUGGGCGUAAAGCGCGUGUAGGCGGCUCGAUAAGUCUGCUGUGAAAGUUCAGGGCUCAACCCUGAAAUGCCGGUGGAAACUGUCGGGCUAGAGUCCGGAAGAGGCGAGCGGAAUUCCUGGUGUAGCGGUGAAAUGCGCAGAUAUCAGGAGGAACACCAAUGGCGAAGGCAGCUCGCUGGGACGGUACUGACGCUGAGACGCGAAAGCGUGGGGAGCAAACAGG